GGCAGAGGAAGAGGAGAAAGAGGGGCAGGGGAAGCCAGUGGAUAGGGCUGGCAGGGCAGUGUGCAUGUCCCCUCCCAGAAUGCCAGGUGUGGCCAACAGCCUGAGGACCAGGUCUGGUCUGUAUGUGUCCUCCCAUGGCAAGGGUGGGUGGUCUCGGCUGGGGACAUGUGAGGGCCAAGUCGCAGCCUCCGUCAGCCUCCUGCUACCCUGGAC
Molecule: long non-coding RNA, 213 nt
Organism: Perognathus longimembris pacificus (Pacific pocket mouse)
Lineage: Eukaryota; Metazoa; Chordata; Mammalia; Rodentia; Heteromyidae
Exons: 4
Source: RefSeq, a predicted model, not a curated record